Rhopilema esculentum is the source of this 707-nucleotide non-coding RNA. The record is from RefSeq and is a predicted model, not a curated record. Lineage: Eukaryota; Metazoa; Cnidaria; Scyphozoa; Rhizostomeae; Rhizostomatidae.
UGGCUCUGACCUUAAAGAAGAAGUUAAUCACUUUUUUUUCUUUUUGCUUAUAGGAUUUCAAUUUAAAUUCUUCCUGACUGUACUGUAUAGAAUCAAAAUGCUAUAAAUAAGCGAGCCAUUUGCCAGCUUACUACAUUUACUUGGUUGCAGCACGUGUCUUCCUGGAGCAAUCAAAAAACACAAGGAAAGAUGAAGCUGCUUAUAGUAUUUGGGUUCUGCUGUGUUAUUGCUCUGACUGCAGCGUCAAUAAAUGAGAACAAUGAAUCAACUGUCAUGGGAGAGGAACCCGAUGCAAAGAUGGAGGUCAUGGAAAGCUCUGACCAAGACGAAUCCGAAGACCAGCCCUUUGAAGACCGGAAAGAGAUGAACAAAGACAACGACGAUGAUGACCUUGAAAUGACAGAAGGCAAAGAGGACACAGAAGAUGCCAGAAUGGAAAAAUCUCCCUUUUGGAGAAGAAGGCGUCGUCAUGUCAUUUACGUGCGUCGCCGUCAAAUUUACUAUUACCGCCGCCGUUAUUCUUACUACUACCGCCGCCGACAUUCUUACUACUACCGCCGCCGUCAUUAUUAUUACCAUCGACGUCGCUUCUACGGUUAAAGACUUUUUUACGUUCUCUGUUUCAUAUGCUCUUUGUUUUGGAUACAGUUUUUUAAGGACUGUUUCAAGUAGUCUGAAACGUUUUUCAUAGAAAAGAUCGCGAAUUU